UUAAAUUGAAGAGUUUGAUCAUGGCUCAGAUUGAACGCUGGCGGCAGGCCUAACACAUGCAAGUCGAAAGCUGACAGGUGG
RNAcentral lists this ribosomal RNA (81 nucleotides) under Escherichia coli. Its description in RNAcentral is "partial 16S ribosomal RNA". It matches the Rfam family "Bacterial small subunit ribosomal RNA", at positions 1 to 79 of the family's 1533-position model. Lineage: Bacteria; Pseudomonadati; Pseudomonadota; Gammaproteobacteria; Enterobacterales; Enterobacteriaceae. The record is from RNAcentral.